This 377-nucleotide ribosomal RNA is filed under the name uncultured bacterium. RNAcentral's name for it is "bacterial SSU rRNA". It matches the Rfam family "Bacterial small subunit ribosomal RNA", at positions 521 to 896 of the family's 1533-position model. The record is from RNAcentral.
UAAUACGUAGGGUGCUAGCGUUGUUCGGAAUCAUUGGGCGUAAAGCGCGUGUAGGUGGUCAGUAAAGUUGGGUGUGAAAUCCCUCGGCUCAACCGAGGAAGGGCACUCAAAACUAACUGGCUUGAGAGUGGUAGAGGAAGGUGGAAUUCCUAGUGUAGAGGUGAAAUUCGUAGAUAUUAGGAGGAAUACCGGAGGCGAAGGCGGCCUUCUGGACCAUUUCUGACACUGAGACGCGAAAGCGUGGGUAGCAAACAGGAUUAGAUACCCUGGUAGUCCACGCCGUAAACGAUGGGUACUAGAUGUUGCGGGAAUUGACCCCUGCAGUGUCGCAGCUAACGCAUUAAGUACCCCGCCUGGGAAGUACGGCCGCAAGGUUA